AGCGCUAUCGCCAAACGGUAAGGCAACGGACUCUGACUCCGUCAUUGUCUAGGUUCGAAUCCUAGUAGCGCUG
RNAcentral lists this transfer RNA (73 nucleotides) under Lachnospiraceae bacterium. Its description in RNAcentral is "tRNA-Gln". It matches the Rfam family "tRNA". Rfam says of the family: Transfer RNA (tRNA) molecules are approximately 80 nucleotides in length. Their secondary structure includes four short double-helical elements and three loops (D, anti-codon, and T loops). The record is from RNAcentral. RNAcentral also lists the same sequence under 1 other name. Lineage: Bacteria; Bacillati; Bacillota; Clostridia; Lachnospirales; Lachnospiraceae.